GAUGAACGCUGGCGGCGUGCCUAAUACAUGCAAGUCGAGCGAACAGACGAUGAACUUUCUCCUUGGACGUUAGCGGCGGACGUGUGAGUAACACGGGGGUAGCCUCCCUAUAAUAAUGUGCUAACUUCGGGAGACCGGAGCUAAGACCAGAUAAUAUUUCGAACAGCAUAUUUCGGUAGUAAAAGAUGUUGCUGCUAUCACUUUUAUCGCUUGAAGAUCGUCUUGCGUCGGUUGAGAUAGUUGGUGAGGUAACGGCUUACUAAGGCAACGAUCCGUAGCCGAACUGAGAGGGUGAUCGGCCACACUAGAACUGAGACACGCUCCCGACUUCUACGUGAGGCACCAGCCGGGAAUCUUCGGCAAGGGGCGGAAGCCUGAAGGAGCAAAGCGGCGUGAGCGAUGAAGGUCUUCGGAGCGUAAAACUCUGUUAUUAGGGAAGAAUAAACGUGUAAGUAAAUGUGCAAGUCUUGACGGUACCUAAUCAGAAAGCCCCGGCUAACUACGUG
Molecule: ribosomal RNA, 506 nt
Filed under: uncultured bacterium
Lineage: Bacteria
Description: partial 16S ribosomal RNA
Rfam family: Bacterial small subunit ribosomal RNA
Source: RNAcentral